This 10187-nucleotide long non-coding RNA is filed under the name Sorghum bicolor (sorghum). Its description in RNAcentral is "long non-coding RNA (SBIC_LNC001748)". Lineage: Eukaryota; Viridiplantae; Streptophyta; Magnoliopsida; Poales; Poaceae. The record is from RNAcentral.
CUUUUUUUUUUUUUUUGUCUGGCAGUGCGGAUCUGCAGGAGGAAGAUCUGCACACCAUCAUUUGAAGUUGAAGACAUCACUGUCAACCCGUCUGACCUUGAAAAACGUACGGAGUAAACUACUUCUUGUCUGUUUUUUUUACCCUGACGAUGAGGAGUGACGAUACAUUUGCCUGGCCGCCAAGGUCCGGCCAAUCCUCCCUUUCGCGAGGUAGCAGUACUCCUCAUAUACUCAGGGCUUGUUUAGUUUGAAAAGUGAAAAAAUUUUCGGUACUGUAGUACUUUCGUUUGUUUAUGACAAAUAUUAUUCAAUUAUGGACUAACUAGUAUUAAAAGAUUCGUCUCGUAAUUUAUAGCUAAACUGUGUAAUUAGUUUUUGUUUUCGUCUAUAUUUAAUAUUUCAUGCAUGUACCACAAGAUUCGAUGUGACAUAAAAUCUUAAAAACUUUUUGGUUUUGAGAGUGAACUAAACAAGGCUUUGAAUUAGCGUGACGGUCACGACAGAUCACCAUCAAGGGGCGACAGCCAUGCAUUAAUGAUGGCUCGGUGGGUAAACACCCGAGAGAUAUUUGCGCACCCAACCCAACAUACCGCGUGCGAGUUGCUAUCGGAAACGUGACAGAAUCGUGCGCGAUCCCAUCCUCGCCCGCGUACUGUACUGUACCGGGCACCCUGACCGCUCCUGUUCCAAGGCGGAGUGUUAGGCACGUAGCCGGGGAGCAAGCUUGACAACGGAUGGAAAAAUUCCCGUGCGCGUCUCGCACUGUAUUACUCCCUCCGUCCCAAAUUACAAUUCAUUCCAAAAAUCUUAUAGAGUCAAAGUUUUUUAAAUUUUACUAAAUUUAUAUAAUAAAAUAAUAACAUUUUUAGUAUCAAUCAAGUAGAAUCUUUGUUAAUUAUAUUUUUAUAGUGUACCUAUUUUAUGACAUAAAUCUUUAUAUUUCUCUCUAUAUUUUGAGUCAAACUUGAAAAUCUUUUGACUCUCCAAGAUUUUUAAAAUGACUUAUAAUUUGAAAUAGAUUAUUAUUAUUGUUGUUGUUGUUGUUAUUAUUAUUAUUAUUAUUAUUAUUAUUAUUAUUAUUAUUAUUAUUAUUAUUAUUAUUAUUAUUAUUAUUAUUAUUAUUAUUAUUAUUAUUAUUAUUAUUAUUAUUAUUAUUAUUAUUUGACUUUAUUUAUGUAUAUACUUGAAAAUAUUAGAUUACCUGAUUUAAAUUUAACUUUUUGGCUUUGGGUGUUUAGUUCUCCUUUUAUUCCAAAGAAUUCGAACCUUUAGUUCAUAAUUUUGCAUCAGGUACUAAACAUCAUAUAAAAAUUUUGAUAAAAAAAUAAUUAUUCUCUAUUUUGGAUUUUGCCUUAAGAGGUAAAAAAGGUCCAAAAGUUUCUCAAAGCCCGUGCCCACUCCCACGAGCACUGAAAAAAUUGACAUUUUGGAUUGAACUAAAAACACCCUUGAAAAUAUGGUAUUUUUGUAUUUCAUUAUUUUAAAAUAUUUUUGUAUUUUACAUUCCAUAGAGAUAAACAUAACCCUAAAUUUAUCGGUUUCUGUAUUGUCGCAUGUCCUGAUUUCGGUGUUUAUAUCUCAGUUUUGGAGAGAGAGAGAGAGAGAGAGAGGGAGAGAGAGAGGAUUUUUUUUUUUCGUUUUUUAUCUGCGUGGCACACGGGAACGCGCGCGGGUGGCCGGCAGGCACGACGGACGAGUCGCCACGGGCGGAGCCCACGGACGGAGGGAGGGAAGAAAGCGACGCGACGCGACGGGCACGGGCUCGGUUCGGUUUGAAUGAAUGAAUAGUACAGCAGCGUGCAAGUUGCAAGGCAGCGGUUGAGACCUGGCAGCGAAGGUUCCCGUCGCCUAGCUAGCACGGUCGGCAGCAUGUGGAUUCCGUGGGUGCCCCACUUGCGCCUUGCCCGGUGAUACACUCGCGCAAGAGACGUGGUGGUGGUGGCUGGUGCCGCUCCAGCAAAAGGUGUUGACGCGUACGUAGUGGUAUCGUACGCGGUUUUGUAGGCACGUUUUCGUGGUGCCCGUUUGGACCACUUUUGAAUUUUUCUUUUGGGGGGCAAAUAGAGUAUUCCUAGCUUUGCGUGUUGGACUGUACAGAUUUGAGGCUGUGAUUGGAACUCCAUUUGGGAUUUUUCUUUCUUUCUUUCUCUUUCGUUUUCCAUUUGUUCUUGGAAUCGUCAAAUUUUUACUCUCAAAUUAAGCGAGGAGAAGUUGCUGCUGGCAUCAAGUUUUGUGUAAAAUUCAGCCAUGAUUUUUGCGGCAGAAAACACACGUGUCACGAAAGUCACACAAAUUGUUGAAUCUCCAUCUUUCUUUCUAGUAUUAUCGAAUCAUCAAAUCUUACAAGAGCAGCGAAACUCUCUCGUAAGAAAAAAAAAAACAAGAAGAAUAACAUCUCUCUACAACCCAUUUCAAUUUCCAUACAAACCAAUCCAGCCUGAGGAAGGCAGGAACCCACCGAAUUAAUCGAUCCACAUGACGCGACGCGAACUCCCCAAAUCACAGCGCGAUGGUGAGGCGCUCGGCGUCCGUCGUGCUGCCGCCGAGACCGAGCCAGGAGGAGGCCGCCGGCUGCUUCGUCUUCUCCGCCUCCUCCGCGGGGGACGGAGACGGGCGGGUGUAGGGCGCGCGCUCCACGAGGCGGUCCUUGCGUUUGGCCAGGAACCGCUGCAGCGACGCCUUCCUGGCGAUGGGCAGGUCGUCGCGCGGAGCCGGAGCCGGAGCCGGGGCCGGGGCCGGGACCGCCGCGCGCUCGGCGCCGCCGGCUGCGAGGCGCAUGACCUCGGCCGCCUUCUCCGCGGGGAAGUCCUCGAACACCACCACCCUGCCGCCGUAGAAGAUGGUGAGCGGCGCCGCCGUGGAGGCGGGCCCAGCCAUCUCCUCGCCCCUCGCGGCGGCGGCCGGGGUCGGCUCCUGCUCGGCGCCGACGUCCGCGCCGGGCAUGAGGCUCAGCGUCGUGGCCGGGGCGCGAGCGGCAGGGGCUGCGGCGGCCGCCAUCUGCUGCUCGGCCUUGACGUACUGGCUCAGCACCCCGCAGGCCAGCGCGAACCUCCGGCUCUUGCCCUCCGCUGCCGCCAUGGCCAUGUCAAUCGAGACGACUGCUUCGCGCUUGCUUCUCCUCCUUCUCUUUGCCUUGGCUUGUGUUGCUGUUUGCUCUUGCUCUUGGUGGUGCUGUGGGAAUGGAUGAUGGGGGCGCCGCGGGCAGCCUUGUGUUUUAUAGGGGUCGGGAAAUGGGGGCGGAGGAGGAGGGGCAGGGCAAGAAGGCAAUUGACUUGAUGGAGUGGAGACGUGGGGAGGCAUCGUUUAGGGCGGAUUAGUUUUUUCGCCGGCGGGUGGGGGGAGGGGGGGAGACGUGAGGCGCGGUGGUGGCGUGGUGCUGGGCACGAAGAACACGUGAUUCCUGUGGGCGACGGGCAGGGAGGCAGGGGCAGGUUGGGUGGGGUGGGCCGGCGUUGUCGGAUGGAGACGUGAGGAAAAAGAGAAUGCCUAAUUGCCUCUCUAUUUUUUUUUAUUCGUUCGUUCGGCGGGGGAGAGAGAGAGAGGUGUGGUGCGGGCCUUUUCGUCUUGUCGACCAUCGGCUAGCUGCGGCCAGUUGUAUUUCUUUUUGUAGGAAGUAUGCUUCACGCUCUAAAAAAACGUGGUAAAAAAAACGUGGUUGGGACUUCUUUAGGCAGGAAUCCAACCGGGGAAUGCAUGAGCUCCACUUUUAUUCGUUUACAAAUACAAAACAUACUUCCUCUAGUCUACAAUAAUUAUACAUCCCAUUUUACAAGAAAUAAUAUUUUUUUUAAAAGAUAACUAAAUAAUUUGUCCUCUUGUUUCCAGGGUGUUCUCACAAUUGUGAAGUCUCUAUUACUAAAGCUUGUAUAAGUCUCCCUUAGACCAAUCUGUGUCCAAAAAUAUUUGCAAAAAACAUACUUCUUGUUUCUUUGAACUUCGGCCCGUGCUUUAACAAAUCGACUACAUAUGAACCGAUUGUGUGUAGGCACUGUCUUUUCCCUAUCCUCUUCUUGCCGAAGGGGGCGACAACAACACAACUGUCUAGCGCUCGACGGGGUGUGACUAGUCCUGGUCCACCAUAAUGGUGGUUGCUAAUAAGUAUAUGUUUGGUUGGUCUAGGAUGGUUGGGGUCGGGCCCAAACUCGUGGAUCAGUCUGGUGUGAAAAUGUUCCUUGCACAUGGCGAAACCCAAGACGGUAGUGUGGCUAUGCUCUUGCCAGUUGAUGGUGGCCGCGUUGUUGUGGGAAGCGACGAGCAUGUCAAGGAGGAUGUUCUCGAGCCACGAGAGAUACUCAGAGUAUGGGAGCAUCGCGAUAAGAAAUUACCUGUAGCCGGUUUAGAGGCAGAUGUGGACAACUAGCAGGCAGUUGGGGACAACGACUAUUAGGACGUGUUGGAGCAUGUCACGGUUAGACUCACGAUCCUCGUCCUCUAUCACACCAGAGCGUGUGUAUGAGGUGGCUAGAAGAUGUGAGUAAUGCCAGUGAGGUGCACGAGGGCAUCAUCCACUACGACGGGGUUGGCAAGAUCAAAAUCGGGGUGGAACAACAUGAUUAGCGUUCGAGGAAGAGGAAGUGCUCGUGGACAUGGACCUAGACGAGAGCAGGCGACGGGAAAAGCACAUACACCUCCUUGUUCACGAACCAUGUGUCCUUCCCAGCCAUGGCGUCCUCGAGCUCGAGCUUGAUGAAGGGCUUGUCCUCCCUGUCAUACGUGGAGCACUCCAACUCAAAAUGGUUGGCUAGCAUUAGCCGCAGCUUUAGUGUGUGAUCGGCGACGUGCUGCGCGUCGAAGGCAUCGCUGAACCCUGACCCAGCGAUGAGGCAUCUAGACCAGUUUGGUGCGUUACCGUCCUUGCAGCAUAUGGCAACAUAGAUGCAAAGGCUAGCGACAAUAUUCUCGGCGCUACGCGGGGAGGAACCGAAGAACAUCAUGACAAAAAACUUUCUUAUAUAUUUUUCUUCUCUAACAGUUACCAGAUCUCAAAAUAAUAUAUAGGGAUGGACAAUAUGACAUCCCAAAUUCGAGAAGAGGAGGAUUUAGAGUACCACUACAUAUAGGAUAUUUUUCUUCCCUGUGUGGGUAAUUUAUGGGGAUAUCAUUUUAUUAACAUUCCAGUUCUUAGUGGGGUUUUUUUCAUCCACUGGUUUUGCUCUCCUUUGCUUUUAAAGGAGCUCUUAACAAGUUUAGGAACCGUUCAUGCAUCUAAAUUUUAAUAAAGAAAUUUGCAAUGGCUAAACUAGAAGUUGAAAUGGUAAACGACCACCGGUUGCAAUCGAUGAGCAAAACAAUACAUAGAAGUUGUCAGAAGCAUAAGGAAUUUCUUAGUUUUUUAGCAAAUAAGGAUUUUAUUAGUAAAUAAAGAAAAUAAAAUAUGACACGGCAGCCGAGCCCAACUUAUCCCCCUGCACUCUGUUGAACAUGCAAGGCCGGCGAGCCCAGUAGCCAAGCCCAUAUCCAUCAGACCACAACCGUACCAUCUCCCCUGUACAGGCUGUACUGCUGCUAGUCUGUUACUCCAUCAACAGAACCUGCGUGCCCGUUACGUACGUGGCGCUUCCGUCGCCGCAGGAUCACAUCGAAAAGGAAAAGGGAGCCGUACGAGCUCAUGUGGCAACUGCGUGCACGCCUUUCCCCCGGCCCUGUGGCCUGCUCAUGGUUCAUUCACGAGAAAGAUCUCGGGGGCGUCACGCGACGCGCCCAUACCGCACCGGCCUUUAUUCCCCCUCUCCCUCUCUCGUCCGCUGCCCGAUUUUGAUUUUCUGGUCCGCGUACGAACCACGAGGGGAGAUUUGUAUAGAUGAUGAUCGUAUCCGGCUAAUUGAGGUUGAGGAGGCGGAGCAAUGAUUUCCAUCAGUCAGAUUCGUUCGUCGCUAAGCAAAUAGUCCGCCCGCGCUAAGCCUUUAAUUACACUGCAGCUGCUAUCUUUGAAACGAAACUCCUGUGGUGGUGCCGGUGGUGGAGACGCGUCAUGCGCGCAGGCAAACACGUUUCGUUUCGUGGCGACGGGGGAGCAGGGACAGCGACGUGGCGUGCAGCACCGCCCACCUGCCCCCACGCACCCCUGUCGCGUGGCCGUGGCGUGACUGUUGAAACAAAACAAGCGGCCCCAGGAGGAUUAGCUCGAUCGGCGGCAGCGGGAAGGAAGAUGCCGCGCGGGACCGGGCAACAUGCGCCAGAAAUUAAAUUCCGUCACAUGUGCGCAUGCAGCAACGUGCUGGGAUAAAGAUAUACUACUAUCUGCAUCGUGCUAGCAAAUUGCAUAAUAAUCAGGGCGACUUGUUAAACGGGAGAACAAUAUAAUUAAUAAUCAGAAGCAUGACAAGACUUGCUAAGCAAACAAUGUCACUUUUCUUGCAGCAGAGGCUACAACUUGACGUGGGGCUAGCUGAUGGACUCGUCUUCUGGUUCUUAAGUUAAUUUAAUUUGGUGUUUGCGCAGCCUGUGAGUCCUCUUGCCUAUGGUUGAAACCUUGAUGUCUUUGUUAAUCCCCCUUUUUUAUAUAUAUAAAAAAAAAUGAUUCAGUCGCAGCCGCCUGCUAUACAUGCCAGCAUAUUAUUAUUAUAUAUACUGAUACUGAUACUAGCUCAAAGGAUAAGAAAAAUGGUGAAAGUAAACGCGAACGUGAGUCAACUUUGUGUUUGUUCGCCACGAAGGACGGAGCCCAAAUACGACUCAGUCACUUGUUCUGUUUUCUUUUCCUCGUGGUUCGUUGCUUAUUUUCUUUUUCGAUAAUGCAAGAUCUUGUUGUAAAUAAACAAAAACAACGAGAUCAAGGACCAGAGGUCAGGUGUCCUGACCUGCGGCAUAUCAAAAUGUACUGAGGUCAUUUUUUCAUGCCGCGUUGUGACUGCACCGCAGCUAAUUGUUUCUUUUUCAUUUGAUAUCUACAGCUAAUUGUUGAUCAUUUUGCCUUUAGCAGCCACAACUACAGCUGCAGCCAGCGCAUCAUUAGUGACUAUCGUUAGGGGCGAAGGAAUAUACUGUUGUGAGUAUAAGUUGCCAAAUCACUUUAUGUGUCGUUUUUUCAUGCAAAAAGUUUUUUUUAUCAUAAGUACAGUGAUGCUCUUAGUAGCCGAACCAAAAGUUACGGAUUAGAUAUCAUGAUGUUUGUCUUAGAAAUCGACGUAACCACCUUCGAUGUAGAUAUCAAGAUGUUUGUUCCUCUUAGAACACUCACAAUGCAGACUCUAUCAUAGAGUCUAAAGUUAUUUAUUACUUCGAACAAUGUGGACUUAGAGUCUAAAUAAGACUUGGAGUCUUAUUUUUUCUACCUCUUUCUUCAAUAAAUAUGCUGCCACAUCAGCAAAAUACCAUAAAUACUAUGUAAUUAAUUGUCUUAGACUCUGUGAUAGAGUCUUGCAUUGUGAGUGCCCUUAAGACAUAAGAGGAAUGGCAAUAAACAACAAUUAAUGUGGUAAGGACAUGACUUACAGAAACGGUGUAAGAAUUUAGUAUGGAUCAAAUUUAUUUUCCGAGGAAUACAAUAAACAUGAAAAAAAUCCUACAUUUCAAAGGCAUGGCAGGAUUUGUUAAGCAAACAAUGUCGCUUUUCUUGCAGCAGCGGCUAUAACUUGACGUGGGGCUCAUGGACUCGUUUGGUUCUUAAUUUAACUUGGUGUUGCGCAGCCUCGGUCCUCCUGCCUACGGUUGAAACAUAGCUUGAUGUCUUUGUUAAAUGUUAAUCCCCCUUUUCAUUAAAAAAAUGAUUCAGUUGCAGCCGCCUGUUAUACAUGCCAGCAUAUAUACUGAUAUACUGAGACUCAAAUGACAAGAAAAUGGUGAAAGUAAACACGAACGGGAGUUAACUUUUGUGUUUGGUCGUCAGAAAGGAGCCCCAAGACCACUCAGUCAGAUGUUCUGUUUUCUUUCCUCAUGGUCCAUUGUUUCUUUUUUUCCCCCGAUAAUGCAAGAUCUUGUUACAGAUAAAUAUUACAAUGAGAUGAAGGACAAAAGGUCCUGACCACUGGCAUAUCAUGAUCUUAGCAGCCUAGAAUCAGAAAUAUGGUACAUGUUCCUGUUCUUAUGUUCCACGUUCUGAAAAUAGAAUAUUCCCGUUCUUAAAAAUAAUACGCCAAUUUUCUGUUUCUGGGAACGGAACAGAAACAUGGCUACUAAGGUCAUGAUGUACAUAAGUUUUAACAUACUAUGAUACAUUCAACAGUAUAUAUGAUUUACAGGAAUGGUGCAAGAAUGUUGUGCGAAUCAAAUUAUUUUCCUAGGAAUACAAUAAACAUGAAAGAGUUCCUACAUUUCAAAGAGAAUUUUAGUGUUGAAGAAAAGAGCUCACACCAUUGUGUCCUUACUCGACAAAUGGGGAUGUUGACCAAGUGAUCCUGGUUUUCAGCGAACUGAUCAAUGCACACCAUUUCCAUGUUUGGUCAAUUCAGUAGACUGCAGAGAUAAUUAGCAUAUGCGUACCGUGUCUAGGGUGCAUACGUAUAUGUGCACAUAAGUACGUAAUUGGUAGAGGAAAGAACCAGCAACAAGUAAGCCACAGAGUUGUUACGAUACUGAUAACACGUGGAAUUCCAGACGCAAUGCACACUGAAUAAACUAUUAGUUCGUGUUCAACCAGUGAGACCUCUGCGAUAGCUACAGACACAUGACACUGAUUGAUGAGCUAGGCAGCUUGCGUGUUUGAUCCAUGGGUCAACUAUCUGAAUGAGAUGGUCGAACUAAAAUGCUGGAAAAGAAAAGGAAGAAUACCUACUGGCGAAAAACACGCUAAUGUUUGGUUGAGUACCUGGGGCCCUCAGCAAAGGUGCUAGCCAUCGAGCGCAGAGCAGAGCCUGGCCAAAUAAGACUCCUUCUCCUAAUCUCCUGAUACUGAUCGCAACCUAAUGUUAAUUUGAACUACAGUCUGGGCUCUCUUUUGCUUUUGAAAUUAAUGGCAAUCUUAAUUUUCCAAAUAGACUAUCCAUUUCAUUGGCUUUUAACUAGCAACAGCCACCAAGCACUUCAGAGCAGUAGCACAGUAGCAGCACCUGUGGGGGUCAAAGCAAAGUUCUUGCAUCCUCGCAUGCGACUGACAUGUGGAAUAUUCAGUUUCGUCUCAUCAGACAUCAGAGUCUGCAGCCAGCCAGACGUGGAGACGAAGAACACGCAGGAGACUAGGAGAGCGAGAAAGAGAAAGGCCAACAGAACUUGCUCCCCGUCGUCUUCUCCCUUCUACUACUAAUUAUCUUUCCUGCCAGUCCCACCACUGAGUUUUGACCACGUACACGCGAAACGUGCCACGACGAUGCCGACGGAUGUGUGUUUAGUAUACCACCACCUAAUGCAAGUUUUGUCGGAGGAGAGGAGCUUUGAAACGGUAAGCAUAGGCCGGCCGGCGUCGUCCCAAAGUCUCGGUGACGACGACGUGUAACGACUGCACCACACACCCAUGCAUGCACGUUUCUUCUUUCCUCCCUCUCCGUGUUCCUGCGCGCGGCUUCCUACUCCCCUCCCUCUCCGCCGGUUCCUUGAUGAGCUGUUCCUACCACCGCGGACAGCGCAGCACAUGAAAGUUUAGCUUUAAUUUGGUGUGUGAACCAAUCACCAUGAAGCCGAAAGUUUAACACAUCUGAACUUGUCUUUUAACAAAUGACGGCUAUUGCUAUGGUUCGUUCCUUCAUCAGUUGUUUCUUUGUUUUGUCUGAAUAAUUGUUCAGAGUUUGUUUGUUUGUUCACACCAAGAGUUUUUUAAGGUCGUAUCAGAUGACAGAUAAAUUAAUUGUUUCGCGCAGUUUUUGCGUUAAAAUUUGGAAAUAGUAGCAUCUCAGGAACAUAAUUGAUACAUGGAGCAUGGAGGAGUGCUAGCUAUGUGUUUCCGUUUCACUGAUGACCAAAAAAGGGGGCAAACAAUCCACAUAACUGAAUACUUUGUCAGCAACUCAGCACUAUAUAUAUGACACGAGACUGAAACAAUGAAGCAAAAGAAUAGCAUAUAACCUGUUCCAUCAGCUUAUUUGAAUUUACACACUGUAUAUGUAUGAAAUCGAUCAUCUAGAUUUAAUUAAUUAGUUCAUAUCCUUGCAGAUGAAUAUCAGCAAGGAAGGAAAGAAUUCUUUUGUCGCCAAAGAAUUCUCAAACAGACAACUAAUUAACCAAUCAUAAUACACUAAUUAGCUGGCUAGCUAAUUCCCCUGAAGCAACCAGUAACUGGUGUAAAUGUCAAGGGUUGAAACACGUACAUAUUUUUA